This 253-nucleotide ribosomal RNA is filed under the name uncultured bacterium. Its description in RNAcentral is "partial 16S ribosomal RNA". It matches the Rfam family "Bacterial small subunit ribosomal RNA", at positions 524 to 776 of the family's 1533-position model. The record is from RNAcentral.
UACGUAGGGUGCGAGCGUUGUCCGGAAUUAUUGGGCGUAAAGGGCUCGUAGGCGGUUUGUCGCGUCGGGAGUGAAAUCCACUGGCUUAACUGGUGGCUUGCUUUCGAUACGGGCAGACUGGAGGUAUGCAGGGGAGAACGGAAUUCCUGGUGUAGCGGUGAAAUGCGCAGAUAUCAGGAGGAACACCGGUGGCGAAGGCGGGUCUCUGGGACGGUACUGACGCUGAGACGCGAAAGCGUGGGGAGCGAACAGG